CUAACUCUUAAUCCCCUGUUGAGCAUCCAUUAAAAUGAAUAAAGGUCGAUUGCACUAUAAAGCCCCAAAAAUAGGUAGCAAAUAUACAAUAAUGUUCCAAAAUUAUUACAAGUAUCAAGUCACUAAGACCUAUCUUAUGAGAAUCAACACGGUAGACACGAUUCCACGAAGAAAUCAUUGACCAAAUUACACAACUAUUACAUCACAGUUUCUGCCAUCAAAGAAUCACCCAUCUUUUAAGAGAAAGCACAAAAAUAAAUGGUAUUCCACCAAGGAACCAACCGAGAUCACCAAGAUCUAAAAAAACCGAACUGCCCUUCUCUAAAAUCACUUUUGCAUAAGACACAUAACACAGAAUAAAUCAUGCUCCACGAAGGAUUGUAUGCAUCUAUAGUAUUACUUGAGUUUUCUAGUAAUAUUUUCAACAAAAAACCUUCAAGAACCCAAACCCUAAUCACUAGAAGAAGAGUGAUUUUCUUUCGUAACAGAGAAGUGAGAGAAGAGAGAGAGACUUUUUCUUUUCCUUGAAAGUGAGACGUGAGAGAGAGAGAGAAUUAAUUGCUGGAAGAAAAGUCUUACCUCAAUUAAUGUGUAUCUUUCAAAUAUCACAUGGUUAGGUAGAAGAAUAUCCAAUGGUCAAGAAAAAAAAAACACAUUUCUUUCCUUUUUAAAUUUUGGAACACUUUUUUUUUUUCAACAAUCUCCACCUUGCUUCCAAAAUUUGAACCUAUAGUGCAUCCAGGAGCUUCGCCAUCAUUUAUAACUUCAGC
Molecule: long non-coding RNA, 770 nt
Filed under: Olea europaea subsp. europaea
Lineage: Eukaryota; Viridiplantae; Streptophyta; Magnoliopsida; Lamiales; Oleaceae
Source: RNAcentral